CUUAAUUAAUCAGCCACCAGCACUAUAAAGGCUAUCUUCUUUCCCCAAAUUCACCUCGUUGAUACCAAAUCCUUUUCCUUGUUCGUUUCAGCUUCCUUCCUCUUCUACAUGUUCCUUGUCAUCUACAAUAAUUCCUAUUAAAAUAGAAAAAAAUGCAGCGAUCAAGAAACAUCAAGAUCUGUGGGAACGACAGAAUUAUCUCUUGUCGUCUUUCAAUUUCCAAUCUGAAAGUUUUAUUCGUUUUUGAAUCCUCGUUAUUAUAGAAUUCGAUCACGUGUUCUUAUAAGCUUUUGCUGCUCCUCCUUCUCCGACCUCUGCAGAUUUUCCAAUUUCCUCUUUAAUCUCUCCUCUGUUUCUUUUCUUUUCUGCAAUAUUCAAUGGAUAAUAACAUUUCUGUUCCGCAUGAUCUUCCUGAAGGCACAAUCUCUGGUGCAGCCUUCUAUCAUCGUAAUUGGUAAUUGUAUAUCAGGUCUAGCUGCUGCUAGGGACCUCUCUGGAGCAUCUUUUAAGGUGACUGUUCUUGAAUCACGUGAUAGGAUUGGUGGUCAUCCACACUGAUUACUCCUUUGCCUGUCACGUUGACAUGGGAGCUUCAUGGUUACAUGGAGUCUCCAACGACAACCCAUUAGCUCCAAUUAUACGCCGUCUAGGCCUCAGUGGUGAUGACUCCUUCUUGUAUGAUCAUGAUCUCCAAAGUUAUGUAACUUUAUGACAUGCAUGGGAACAAAAUUUCACCGCACUUGGUUACUCAAGUUGGAGAUGCAUUCAAGAGAAUUCUAGAUGAAACAAAAAAUAAGGGAUGAAACCGCCAGUGAUAUGUCAGUUCUUCAAGGAAUAUCCAUCGUCUUGGAAAGAAAUCCAGAACUAAGGCAAGAAGGAAUGGCGUACCAAGUUUUGCAGUGGUAUAUAUGUCGGAUGGAGGCGUGGUUUUCUGUAGAUGCGAACCUGAUAUCACUCAAAUGUUGGGAUCAGGAUGAAGUAAGAACAACAUUUACAUGUUUUUUCGCUGGUAAAUUUCAUUAAACCAAAGAAGAUACAUGGAUGAAAUAAUUGAAAAAAAAAUUAAGCCGGCAAACAAAUUUUCCCGGAGGGUACAAAUUUUCCCGGAGGGUACAACCAAAGGUUGAAACCAAAACUUGGGCAAAAAACACCUAAAUCCUUGAAGAAAGGAGUAAAAUCCCAGGGAAUCCAAGCAUAGUUGCAUUUUACUUGUUAUGAUAUUGUUUUCGUUAAUAAAUUUGACUUCUCUUAAGUAAAAUGUUAAAACCUUAUAUACAGUUAUUGUUAGACAAACUAAGUUAUUUUAAAAAUGUUGAUGUUUAUUACUUUCACCGGAUUUUUUGAGAGGUUGCAAUUUCAGUUUAUUAGAAGUAAGGUUUGUGUUUUUCACAUCAAAAGCUCCAUAACUUAUUAAAGUUAUCCAAGAAGUUGAUCUCAGGAACCAUCCAGUUGGAAAUCCGAGUAUUUACAUGGAGCAAGGAAGAAUUACGAGACCGAGCUCCUUUUUGCAAAGCUAUCAAUUUGAAUAUUCAAAGAAAGACAAAUAAAGGAUAUGAAGUAAGAAUUAAAAGAACUGGUAAGGAGAUGAUAAUCAUCAGUUUCGGCUAAUAAAGAUGGACAGUCGGCUUCCUCUUCUUAUAAGAUUUUGACUAGUUUCAUACAAUCUUUUUCAAAGGUCACUGAUAGUUGGUCUAGUUAAACUGAAGAUUUCAUGCCCCACGUUAGAGUAUGGACUAGCAAAUGAAUCAAAAGUCGUUGUACCAUUCCCCCCCCCC
RNA transcript from Brassica oleracea var. oleracea, 1775 nucleotides. It is a transcript of the gene named probable polyamine oxidase 4, with no coding region annotated. NCBI's taxonomy places the organism in Eukaryota, Viridiplantae, Streptophyta, Magnoliopsida, Brassicales, Brassicaceae. The record is from RefSeq and is a predicted model, not a curated record. The transcript has 7 exons.